RNAcentral lists this long non-coding RNA (1014 nucleotides) under Sus scrofa (pig). Its description in RNAcentral is "lncRNA (ENSSSCG00055000396.1)". The record is from RNAcentral. Lineage: Eukaryota; Metazoa; Chordata; Mammalia; Artiodactyla; Suidae.
UAUUCCUCUUUCCAGUGCAUAACACUUAGUGAUCAAACAUGCUAAUGUCAUCGUCAGUUCUGAAGGCUUUACCAGAAUUCCAUAGUCUGGGUGGUUUAUAAGCAACCAAAAAUUAUUUCUCACAGUUCUGGAGUCUGAAAACUCCAAUAUCAAGACACUGACAGAUUGACUCUCUGGUGAGAGCUUGCUUCCCCUUUUAUAGAUAGCAAUCUUUUUGUUGUGUCCUCCUGGCAGAAAGAGCAAGGGAGUUCUCUGUGGUGGCUCUUCUAUAAAGGCACUAAACCUAUUCAUGACGGCUCCACCCUAAUGACCUAAGCAUCUCCCAAAGCCCUCACCUCUGAACACCAUUACAUUGGGGGUUAAGAAUUUUGGAGAGAUGUAAACAUUCUAUCUAUGGCAGAAAGGUUACCCAAGAAAGUCCUGGCUUUCUUCUCCAGUUUUCCCAGGUUAUUCAUUCAUUCAACAAACAUACAUUGAAUUCAUUGUGCUAAACAUUGUUCCAGGCAUCAGGGUUCCUUUAGUCAGUAACAUGGACAUGGGUCCUGAUCCCACACUGCUGCUGUCUCCCUCCAGUUGUUUACAAGGAUAUUCAGUGAACUUUAUAAACCAGCAUUCUGUUGACUGAAGACCCAAUCCUCUUUGAGGGUAAACCUCAAGUGACUUAGAGUGAGAGAAGGAAGUUCUUUUCCAAUUAUCUGUGUGAUGGCAUUCUUUGGUCAAGAGGUGCUUCUAGGGCACAUCCAUCAGGUCAGCUGGAAAACAUUUACUUGAUUGAGUUUCAUUUGUAUAGCAAUGGCAGGAAGAUUUUCCUUGCUGAGAUGAGCAGUUUAAUUUUUUGUCUUCUAGUAGGACGGGCAAAGGUUGAGACACUAUCUCUCUUGGAGAAAAUAUUGGUCUCUUAAAAUUGACUUCACCUUUAAAAUGCCUCAAUAAUAGUCUAAACCCUAAUAAGAUAAUUGAAAUUGGAAGCACAUGGUGGUAAAAUCACAUGUGAGAAUUCUUCAGAGGAGCAUG